AACCCAUGGUGUGGGCAUUGGUUUGUGUAGCUCCUGAAUCUCUCAUAUGCUUCACCAAAACUUUCAUUGCUCCCCGGCAACGGCGCCAAUUGAUAGACAAGACUUUUUAUGGUCUCAGGGC
This 121-nucleotide small nucleolar RNA is filed under the name Eutrema salsugineum. Its description in RNAcentral is "Plant small nucleolar RNA R71". It matches the Rfam family "Plant small nucleolar RNA R71". From Rfam's summary of the family: R71 is a member of the C/D box family of snoRNAs containing the C (UGAUGA) and D (CUGA) box motifs. Multiple nearly identical copies of this snoRNA have been identified in Arabidopsis, and it is thought to function as a 2'-O-ribose methylation guide for 18S ribosomal RNA. The record is from Rfam by way of RNAcentral. Lineage: Eukaryota; Viridiplantae; Streptophyta; Magnoliopsida; Brassicales; Brassicaceae.